UGUAGUUUCUAGGAUUUUAACCUAAAGCCUUUGCUUGCAAAGCAAAUAUUUUUAAUUAAACUAAAACCAC
This 70-nucleotide transfer RNA is filed under the name Eucidaris tribuloides. Its description in RNAcentral is "tRNA-Ala". The record is from RNAcentral. Lineage: Eukaryota; Metazoa; Echinodermata; Echinoidea; Cidaroida; Cidaridae.